GGGGAUGUAGCUCAGUUGGCUAGAGCGCUUGACUGGCAGUCAAGAGGUCGUCGGUUCGAAUCCGAUCUUCUCCAC
This 75-nucleotide transfer RNA is filed under the name Flavivirga amylovorans. RNAcentral describes it as "tRNA-Ala". It matches the Rfam family "tRNA". Rfam says of the family: Transfer RNA (tRNA) molecules are approximately 80 nucleotides in length. Their secondary structure includes four short double-helical elements and three loops (D, anti-codon, and T loops). The record is from RNAcentral. RNAcentral also lists the same sequence under 6 other names. Lineage: Bacteria; Pseudomonadati; Bacteroidota; Flavobacteriia; Flavobacteriales; Flavobacteriaceae.